UACCCGCGGCCCAAGUGGUGCUUGAUAUUAUUGAGCCUAAAACGUCCGUAGCCGGUUUUGUAAAUCCAUGGGUAAAUCGAGCAGCUCAACUGUUCGAAUUCCGCGGAGACUGCAGGACUUGGGACUGGGAGAGGUCAGAGGUACUUCUGGGGUAGGGGUAAAAUCCUGUAAUCCUGGAAGGACGACCAGUGGCGAAGGCGUUCAACUAGAACGGAUCCGACGGUGAGGGGCGAAGCCCUGGGGCGCAAACGGG
Molecule: ribosomal RNA, 253 nt
Filed under: uncultured Thermogymnomonas sp.
Lineage: Archaea; Methanobacteriati; Thermoplasmatota; Thermoplasmata; Thermoplasmatales
Description: partial 16S ribosomal RNA
Rfam family: Archaeal small subunit ribosomal RNA
Source: RNAcentral